AGUGAACGCUGGCGGUAGGCCUAACACAUGCAAGUCGAACGGCAGCACAGUAAGAGCUUGCUCUUACGGGUGGCGAGUGGCGGACGGGUGAGGAAUACAUCGGAAUCUACUUUUUCGUGGGGGAUAACGUAGGGAAACUUACGCUAAUACCGCAUACGACCUACGGGUGAAAGCAGUGGAUCUUCGGACCUUGCGCGAUUGAAUGAGCGGAUGUCGGGUUAGCUAGUUGGCGGGGUAAAGGCCCACCAAGGCGACGAUCCGUAGCUGGUCUGAGAGGAUGAUCAGCCACACUGGAACUGAGACACGGUCCAGACUCCUGCGGGAGGCAGCAGUGGGGAAUAUUGGACAAUGGGCGCAAGCCUGAUCCAGCCAUACCGCGUGGGUGAAGAAGGCCUUCGGGUUGUAAAGCCCUUUUGUUGGGAAAGAAAAGCAGCAGGUUAAUACCCCGCUGUUCUGACGGUACCCAAAGAAUAAGCACCGGCUAACUUCGUG
This 492-nucleotide ribosomal RNA is filed under the name uncultured bacterium. RNAcentral's name for it is "partial 16S ribosomal RNA". It matches the Rfam family "Bacterial small subunit ribosomal RNA", at positions 29 to 507 of the family's 1533-position model. The record is from RNAcentral.